RNAcentral lists this ribosomal RNA (253 nucleotides) under uncultured bacterium. RNAcentral describes it as "partial 16S ribosomal RNA". It matches the Rfam family "Bacterial small subunit ribosomal RNA", at positions 524 to 776 of the family's 1533-position model. The record is from RNAcentral. RNAcentral also lists the same sequence under 1 other name.
GACGGAGGGGGCAAGCGUUGUCCGGACUUACUGGGCGUAAAGCGCACGUAGGCGGCUCGAUGCGUCGGUGCUGAAAGCGCCAGGCUUAACCUGGCGAGGCGUGCCGAUACGAUCGGGCUCGAGGCAGGCAGAGGGUGGCGGAAUUCCGGGUGUAGUGGUGAAAUGCGUAGAGAUCCGGAGGAACGCCUGUGGCGCAAGCGGCCACCUGGGCCUGUCCUGACGCUGAGGUGCGAAAGCGUGGGGAGCGAACCGG